ACAGCAGUAGCCGCGGUAAAACGGAGGGUGCAAGCGUUAAUCGGAAUUACUGGGCGUAAAGCGCACGCAGGCGGUCUGACAAGUCAGAUGUGAAAUCCCCGGGCUUAACCUGGGAACUGCAUUUGAAACUGUCAGGCUGGAGUCUUGUAGAGGGGGGUAGAAUUCCAGGUGUAGCGGUGAAAUGCGUAGAGAUCUGGAGGAAUACCGGUGGCGAAGGCGGCCCCCUGGACAAAGACUGACGCUCAGGUGCGAAAGCGUGGGGAGCAAACAGGAUUAGAUACCCCUGUAGUCCCUGUCUCUUAUAA
RNAcentral lists this ribosomal RNA (305 nucleotides) under uncultured bacterium. Its description in RNAcentral is "partial 16S ribosomal RNA". It matches the Rfam family "Bacterial small subunit ribosomal RNA", at positions 508 to 809 of the family's 1533-position model. The record is from RNAcentral.